RNAcentral lists this ribosomal RNA (1014 nucleotides) under Leuconostoc mesenteroides subsp. mesenteroides. RNAcentral's name for it is "bacterial SSU rRNA". It matches the Rfam family "Bacterial small subunit ribosomal RNA", at positions 61 to 1057 of the family's 1533-position model. The record is from RNAcentral. Lineage: Bacteria; Bacillati; Bacillota; Bacilli; Lactobacillales; Lactobacillaceae.
GUCGAACGCACAGCCAGGUGCUUGCACCUUUCAAGUGAGUGGCGAACGGGUGAGUAACACGUGGACAACCUGCCUCAAGGCUGGGGAUAACAUUUGGAAACAGAUGCUAAUACCGAAUAAAACUUAGUGUCGCAUGACACAAAGUUAAAAGGCGCUUCGGCGUCACCUAGAGAUGGAUCCGCGGUGCAUUAGUUAGUUGGUGGGGUAAAGGCCUACCAAGACAAUGAUGCAUAGCCGAGUUGAGAGACUGAUCGGCCACAUUGGGACUGAGACACGGCCCAAACUCCUACGGGAGGCUGCAGUAGGGAAUCUUCCACAAUGGGCGAAAGCCUGAUGGAGCAACGCCGCGUGUGUGAUGAAGGCUUUCGGGUCGUAAAGCACUGUUGUAUGGGAAGAACAGCUAGAAUAGGAAAUGAUUUUAGUUUGACGGUACCAUACCAGAAAGGGACGGCUAAAUACGUGCCAGCAGCCGCGGUAAUACGUAUGUCCCGAGCGUUAUCCGGAUUUAUUGGGCGUAAAGCGAGCGCAGACGGUUUAUUAAGUCUGAUGUGAAAGCCCGGAGCUCAACUCCGGAAUGGCAUUGGAAACUGGUUAACUUGAGUGCAGUAGAGGUAAGUGGAACUCCAUGUGUAGCGGUGGAAUGCGUAGAUAUAUGGAAGAACACCAGUGGCGAAGGCGGCUUACUGGACUGCAACUGACGUUGAGGCUCGAAAGUGUGGGUAGCAAACAGGAUUAGAUACCCUGGUAGUCCACACCGUAAACGAUGAACACUAGGUGUUAGGAGGUUUCCGCCUCUUAGUGCCGAAGCUAACGCAUUAAGUGUUCCGCCUGGGGAGUACGACCGCAAGGUUGAAACUCAAAGGAAUUGACGGGGACCCGCACAAGCGGUGGAGCAUGUGGUUUAAUUCGAAGCAACGCGAAGAACCUUACCAGGUCUUGACAUCCUUUGAAGCUUUUAGAGAUAGAAGUGUUCUCUUCGGAGACAAAGUGACAGGUGGUGCAUGGUCGUCGUCA